GAAUACUUCAGUCAGUAGAGCAGGAAACUCUUAAUCUCGGGGUUGUGGGUUCGAGCCCCACAUUGGACA
Podarcis lilfordi (Lilford's wall lizard) is the source of this 69-nucleotide non-coding RNA. The record is from the annotation of a GenBank genome assembly. NCBI's taxonomy places the organism in Eukaryota, Metazoa, Chordata, Lepidosauria, Squamata, Lacertidae.